This 73-nucleotide transfer RNA is filed under the name Felis catus (domestic cat). It matches the Rfam family "tRNA". Rfam says of the family: Transfer RNA (tRNA) molecules are approximately 80 nucleotides in length. Their secondary structure includes four short double-helical elements and three loops (D, anti-codon, and T loops). Further hydrogen bonds mediate the characteristic L-shaped molecular structure. tRNAs have two regions of fundamental functional importance: the anti-codon, which is responsible for specific mRNA codon recognition, and the 3' end, to which the tRNAs corresponding amino acid is attached (by aminoacyl-tRNA synthetases). tRNAs cope with the degeneracy of the genetic code in two manners: having more than one tRNA (with a specific anti-codon) for a particular amino acid; and 'wobble' base-pairing, i.e. permitting non-standard base-pairing at the 3rd anti-codon position. The record is from Rfam by way of RNAcentral. Lineage: Eukaryota; Metazoa; Chordata; Mammalia; Carnivora; Felidae.
GCCUAGCUGGCUCAGUUGGUAGAGCAUGUGACCUUUGAUCUCGGGAUUGUGAGUUCAAGCCACAUGGUGGGUA